CAUUUAGACCUUCACGGUUCAAUAGACUGAAAAAUGGAGUUGCAUCGCAAGAAGAUUACUAGAAACACAGGCGCGGCAAAGCCGCGCCCUUGUCUUAGCUAAGUGGCCCAUGGAUCCUCCAAAUCGGCUGCUAACCCUUUUUUUGUGCCGGGAGCCCAGGAGUUGUAACUAAAGGUAGACCUUAUAGUGUUAGGCCUAUUUUUCCUUAAAUCUAAUAAUGUACUGCUGGAGAUAGUGCACCUGUGUUAAAAAAAAAAAGGAGUUCGUGUGUGUCACCUUCUUAUUUUAACAAAGCACUGUAAAGUACAUCACUCAAGCAAUAGAAACAGAUCGUGAUACAUAGCAUAAGCACCUAAUGAAAGCAUCCGCUGCAAUCAUGAGCACCCAAGAUAAGUGGACUGAUUAAACGAAAAUUAAAGUUGUGGUCACAAUAGUUAGUAGAGCAAGAAAAUAUAACACCAAGGAAAAAUGCAGAGGAAUAAAGAAAAUGAAGGUCAGAAAAUUGAAGAUUUUACCCCUCCCAGCUGGAGUCAGUAGCAUGAUCUGAAAUAUGAAUCAACAUGAGAAUGAAAAACUUCUGAAUCAACAUGAGAAUGAAGAACAAAUUUGCUCAACAAAAAGAAUGAAGAACUAAGUAAAAUUACAAUUUGACCUUGUACUCUGUAUACUAAUACAGUUUUUUUAUUUCUAAUCUGAAUCCUUAAUCCUACGUCAGUAUUUACGACCGGUUUUGAAUCAUGUUCCUGAAUUGUAUAAAAGAGUGGCAGGUUAGAUGAAACCAAGCAUUAUAUUACUGCCAAUAUAGCUGAAUGUUGACUGACUCCCACUAUUGGACCCCUGAUAUACAGACAUAAAUGAGAACAUGAACAAAGUAUUCAAUAUUUGCUUGAUUGCUUUAUAUUUGCAUUGUAUGCCAUAUACAGAGUACUGCUACACUGAGAAGUUGCAAAUUACACCCUACAUUUCAGUACAGGAAUGGAUGGAAAUUAGGACAUAACCAUAAUAGAAUUGUCCAUUGUUAUCUAAUUGUUCUUUAGUUCUAAAUCUUCCGGUUUGGGUUUCUUCUUCUUUCUUUCCUCUUGGAAAAAGUAUCUAAAAAUUUAAUCCAUCAAAGAUUGUCCUUGUUCAGCAUGCAUGCAAGGAAGUAACAAUCUAACAAUCUAACACCAUUCCAAAAUUAUUGUUACACAAUUAUGGCUCUUAUGCUUUAGCACUAUAUCCUGGGAAAUGGAACUAUUCAGGACAAAUUGCAACUUAGUCAUGCAGGUUUAGUUCAAACAAACCUAUCUUACUGAAUACUGACAACUAACACGCCCUUGUCUUAGCUAAGUGGCCCAUGAAAAAUUUCAGAUUGUAGUACACUACAAAAUCUAAAAGGUAGCAUGCCAUAAAGCAGAAGACAUAUACUUUUUUAAAAACUAUAAUAAGAAAAGAAAAGUUCAGCCAAUUAGUGCUAAUUUGUCUCCUUAUCAGUUAAGCAUGCUGAAGCCCAACAUGCAGAUGCAGUAAGUAGGCUGGGAAACAGUGUAAUUUUGGGCUCAAGAAGAGGACGAGGCAAUCGGGCAAGUAAGCAACAAGAGCCGAUUUGAGUUCAUACUGGCUGGAUUGGCUGCCAUCGGCUGUACUCCAGGAGAUCUGCCGCCGGAGAGUGGGUCGGUGAUCUGCCAGCUUACUUACAUGCCUGUGUUUUGCAGUCCACUGCGUUGCCAUGCCAUGGCCCUUGUUCUUGAGCAGCAAUGUCAGUGGCCACGCCAGCUCGGAGAGAGACGCGGCCUGACGAACGGGUACAAUGGCUGCCCCUACCGCGAACAAUUAUCCUCUGCGCAUUGCUAUACUUGUGUCCUUCGAUGGGCAAGCCGACGGAAUGGUCAUGAGUUUGGUGAGGUUGCAGACGCCCGCACCGUUGGCCGAGCACAGCAUGCGCUUCCACAUUUCCAAAUCACAGCGCUCCGAACGUGUAUUUCAUCGAACACCUUACGUUAAUCCCUCGAGCGGCUGCAGCCUGCAGGCAACGAUGAGUUGAAGGGGGUUCUUGGAGACGAUUGCGUAGAGCUCGGCACCCUGGAGGAUCUGAGCCCAAGCCGCGACGGCCUUCCGUCAGCGCAGCGCGGCUAGAGCAGCCUACGGCGGUGUCGCUGUUGUAGUGGAAGGCAUACGCGUCGGCGACCUCGACGACGUCUCAGCACGCUUCAUCCCGUGGUACGCUGGUGUUCCACGCGCCCGAGGGAGGUGGGGUCUCUCAAGAUUCUAGAGCUCGACGCCGCCAUCGUGUUGGAGCUGCGGACGAACGGUGCUCUAUUUUGUGCGGGAGAGGAGGGUGGCUUGGCAGAGGAGGACGCGACAGCGGCGAUAGAGGAACGGGUCGCC
This 2367-nucleotide long non-coding RNA is filed under the name Setaria viridis. Its description in RNAcentral is "long non-coding RNA (SVIR_LNC010548)". The record is from RNAcentral. Lineage: Eukaryota; Viridiplantae; Streptophyta; Magnoliopsida; Poales; Poaceae.